Molecule: ribosomal RNA, 641 nt
Filed under: uncultured Flexibacteraceae bacterium
Lineage: Bacteria; Pseudomonadati; Bacteroidota; Cytophagia; Cytophagales; Cytophagaceae
Description: bacterial SSU rRNA
Rfam family: Bacterial small subunit ribosomal RNA
Source: RNAcentral
GAUGAACGUUAGCGGCAGGCCUAAUACAUGCAAGCUGAACGGUAAGAUUUGUAGCAAUACGAGUCCUAGAGUAGCGUAAGGGUGCGUAACACGUAUGCAAUCUGCCCGCAACAGGAGGAUAGCUCUUCGAAAGAGGAAUUAAUACUUCAUAACACCACACGAGGGCAUCUGAGAGUGGUUAAACUACGGGGUUGCGGAUGAGCAUGCGCAUGAUUAGUUAGUUGGCGGGGUAACGGCCCACCAAGACGAUGAUCAUUAGGGGAACUGAGAGGUUGGUCCCCCACACUGGCACUGAGAUACGGGCCAGACUCCUACGGGAGGCAGCAGUAGGGAAUAUUGGACAAUGGGUGAGAGCCUGAUCCAGCCAUGCCGCGUGCAGGAAGAAAGCCUUCUGGGUUGUAAACUGCUUUUUUCAGGGGAUAAAAUACCGGUGCGCCGGGAAUUGCAAGUACCUGGAGAAUAAGCCACGGCUAACUACGUGCCAGCAGCCGCGGUAAUACGUAGGUGGCAAGCGUUGUCCGGAUUUAUUGGGUUUAAAGGGUGCGUAGGCGGUAAUUUAAGUCAGUGGUGAAAUACGGCAGCUCAACUGUCGAGGUGCCAUUGAUACUGGGUUACUUGAGUACUGAUGAGGUAGGCGGAAU